CACGUAGGGCGCAAGCGUUGUCCGGAAUUAUUGGGCGUAAAGAGCUCGUAGGCGGUCUGUUGCGUCCGCUGUGAAAACUCGGGGCUUAACCCCGAGCCUGCAGUGGAUACGGGCAGACUAGAGGUAGGUAGGGGAGAAUGGAAUUCCCGGUGUAGCGGUGAAAUGCGCAGAUAUCGGGAGGAACACCGGUGGCGAAGGCAGCUCGCUGGGACGGUACUGACGCUGAGACACGAAAGCGUGGGUAGCAAACAGG
This 253-nucleotide ribosomal RNA is filed under the name uncultured bacterium. RNAcentral's name for it is "partial 16S ribosomal RNA". It matches the Rfam family "Bacterial small subunit ribosomal RNA", at positions 524 to 776 of the family's 1533-position model. The record is from RNAcentral.